ACGACCUUACUUGAACAGGAUCUGUUCUAUAGGAUCGUACCUCUGUAUCCUUUAACACUAAGGACGACAGUGUAUAGCUGAAUGCCUGGUUCAUUCGAAUCAUGCUUGAAUCGUUUGUCAUAUGCUGAUAUCAGCGUUCUGACAGACU
Molecule: small RNA, 148 nt
Filed under: Salix viminalis (osier)
Lineage: Eukaryota; Viridiplantae; Streptophyta; Magnoliopsida; Malpighiales; Salicaceae
Rfam family: Plant small nucleolar RNA U3
About the family: Small nucleolar RNAs (snoRNAs) are involved in the processing and modification of rRNA in the nucleolus. There are two main classes of snoRNAs: the box C/D class, and the box H/ACA class.
Source: RNAcentral